Molecule: ribosomal RNA, 545 nt
Filed under: uncultured bacterium
Lineage: Bacteria
Description: partial 16S ribosomal RNA
Rfam family: Bacterial small subunit ribosomal RNA
Source: RNAcentral
UGGGGAAUAUUGCACAAUGGGCGAAAGCCUGAUGCAGCAACGCCGCGUGAGUGAUGAAGGUCUUCGGAUUGUAAAGCUCUGUCUUUUGGGACGAUAAUGACGGUACCAAAGGAGGAAGCCACGGCUAACUACGUGCCAGCAGCCGCGGUAAUACGUAGGUGGCGAGCGUUGUCCGGAUUUACUGGGCGUAAAGGGUGCGUAGGCGGAUGUUUAAGUGAGAUGUGAAAUACCCGGGCUUAACUUGGGUGCUGCAUUUCAAACUGGAUAUCUAGAGUGCAGGAGAGGAGAAUGGAAUUCCUAGUGUAGCGGUGAAAUGCGUAGAGAUUAGGAGGAACACCAGUGGCGAAGGCGAUUCUCUGGACUGUAACUGACGCUGAGGCACGAAAGCGUGGGUAGCAAACAGGAUUAGAUACCCUGGUAGUCCGCGCCGUAAACGAUGAGUACUAGGUGUAGGAGGUAUCGACCCCUUCUGUGCCGCAGUAAACACAUUAAGUACUCCGCCUGGGAAGUACGAUCGCAAGAUUAAAACUCUAAAGUGAAUUGAC